UACGUAGGGGGCAAGCGUUGUCCGGAUUUAUUGGGCGUAAAGAGCGUGUAGGCGGCUAGAUAGGUCCGUUGUGAAAACUCGAGGCUCAACCUCGAGACGUCGAUGGAAACCAUCUGGCUAGAGUCCGGAAGAGGAGAGUGGAAUUCCUGGUGUAGCGGUGAAAUGCGCAGAUAUCAGGAGGAACACCUGCGGUGUAGACGGCUUACUGGACCAUAACUGACGCUGAGGCACGAAAGCGUGGGUAGCAAACAGG
RNAcentral lists this ribosomal RNA (253 nucleotides) under uncultured bacterium. Its description in RNAcentral is "partial 16S ribosomal RNA". It matches the Rfam family "Bacterial small subunit ribosomal RNA", at positions 524 to 776 of the family's 1533-position model. The record is from RNAcentral.